GAUGAACGCUGGCGGCGUGCCUAAUACAUGCAAGUCGAGCGAACGGACGAGAAGCUUGCUUCUCUGAUGUUAGCGGCGGACGGGUGAGUAACACGUGGAUAACCUACCUAUAAGACUGGGAUAACUUCGGGAAACCGGAGCUAAUACCGGAUAAUAUUUUGAACCGCAUGGUUCAAAAGUGAAAGACGGUCUUGCUGUCACUUAUAGAUGGAUCCGCGCUGCAUUAGCUAGUUGGUAAGGUAACGGCUUACCAAGGCAACGAUGCAUAGCCGACCUGAGAGGGUGAUCGGCUACACUGGAACUGAGACACGGUCCAGACUCCUACGGGAGGCAGCAGUAGGGGAUCUUCCGCAAUGGGCGAAAGCAUGACGGAGCAACGCCGCGUGAGUGAUGAAGGUCUUCGGAUCGUAAAACUCUGUUAUUAGGGAAGAACAUAUGUGUAAGUAACUGUGCACAUCUUGACGGUACCUAAUCAGAAAGCCACGGCUAACUACGUG
Molecule: ribosomal RNA, 497 nt
Filed under: uncultured bacterium
Lineage: Bacteria
Description: partial 16S ribosomal RNA
Rfam family: Bacterial small subunit ribosomal RNA
Source: RNAcentral